AUCCUCGUUACCUCUAAUUGGAGGUCAUAUUUAAGUUGAUGUUUGUCCCACCUGUUUUUGUGGGUGAUUAAUCUUUUGAAUAGUGUUUUCCUCUCUGCGUCACGGUUUGUUUUUUUGUGUUUCAAGUAUUUAGUGUAUUGCAUUUAGUUUCACGGAAUAAAUAAAUAUGUGGAACUACGAACACGCUGCAUUUUGGUCCGAUCACUUGAACAGCCGUGAUAGUGAUAUAUGGUCUCAUUUAGCUAUCAUAAGAUGACUGCAUUUACAGAUGCCAUCUUAAUUUGACCCAGUUUCUCACAGCAGGGAAAUAAUCCUGCAGCAACAGGAAAUGUGGAUUAUAAUUAAGGGACAUUCUUUUGUAGGGGUUGAUACAUUUUCAUUAGGGCAAAUCAAGUCUGACAUUUUUAAGUGGAAAUUACACCAUUUAGAAGCCUUGUAGUGAUAUAAUUUAUUUAAACAAUAAAAUCUAAUUUACCUACAUUUAUAAACAACUGAAAUAUAGAGUUUUGGAAUGAAACUGUUCUUAAGUUUCCCCUUCUGAACUCAGAGUAGAUGUGCGAUUGAAGGUUUUUCUCUGUUUUGAAGUCCAAUCAAGCAGGAGAGACCAGCCUCCCCUGUACCCAGCUGUGUGUCCAUGAAGAGUGACCGGUCUAUGGAACUUACUCCUAUAGACCUUUCUACUGAACAAAGAAACCAACAGGAGAGAUCAGAGUCAGAAAUUCUCAGUGGUCAGUCUUCCCAGAGUUAUCAAACAGACCUGGCCUCCAUAUUCAGUUUGCUUGAAGAGAAUAUCAUGACAUUUGUGAAGAAUGAGCUGAAGAGGUUCAAGAAGACUCUCAGUCCAGAACUCCCACAAGGCUUUGAGAGUCAGAAGCAGGUUAAGGAAGAAGUGGAUGCAGGAGAGGAGUGCCAAAGAGGGGGCUCUGAAGAUCCCAAUGCACGUCCUGAGAAAAAUGAACCAGAAGGAGCUUGCUGACACACUGGAUAAAAAUGAGCUUGCUGUGAUUUGCCAACGUGAACUCAAAUCUAAUCUAAAGAAGUUUCAAUAUGUAUUUGAGGGGAUCGCUAAACAAGGAAACCCAACACUUCUCAAUAA
Long non-coding RNA from Salmo salar (Atlantic salmon), 1096 nucleotides. RefSeq lists it as uncharacterized. The record is from RefSeq and is a predicted model, not a curated record. Lineage: Eukaryota; Metazoa; Chordata; Actinopteri; Salmoniformes; Salmonidae.